AUGGGCCAGCCGCCGGGGCCGUGGACGUUGCCGGUGAUCGGCAGUCUGCACCACAUAGCCGGGCAGCUCCCUCACCGGGCCUUGCGCGACUUGGCGCGGCGGCAUGGGUGGCCCGUCAUGCUGCUCCAGCUUGGCGAGGUGCCCACGCUCGUCGUCUCCUCCCGCUCCGGCGCUCGCGAAGUGAUGAGGACCCACGACGCUUCGUUCGCCACACGGCCCAUGAGCUCUGCCGUGCGCGUGAUCACCAACGGCGGGCGGGACAUCGCCUUAGACCCCUAUGGCGACCACUGGCGACAGAUGCGCCGGAUAGCCGUCACCGAGCUCCUCACCGCCCGCCGAGUCCUCUCCUUCCGUGCAAUCCGGGAGGAGGAAGUCGCCGCCAUGCUCCGCGCCAGCGCUGCCAGCGGGGAAGAGAUCGACAUGCGCACGCGGCUGUCUGCGAUGGUGGCCGACAGCACCGUGCACUAG
RNAcentral lists this ribosomal RNA (468 nucleotides) under Triticum aestivum (bread wheat). RNAcentral describes it as "partial small subunit ribosomal RNA". Lineage: Eukaryota; Viridiplantae; Streptophyta; Magnoliopsida; Poales; Poaceae. The record is from RNAcentral.